UACAGAGGCCCCAAGCGUUACUGAGAAUCACUGGGUUUAAAGGGUGCGUAGGUGGUCCAUUAAGUUCGUUGUGAAAGCCCUGGGCUCAACCCAGGAACUGCUUCGAAUACUGGCGGACUUGAGGCGAGUAUGGGUCACUGGAACUGACGGUGGAGCGGUGAAAUGCGUAGAUAUCGUCAGGAACGCCAAUGGUGAAGACAGGUGACUGGGCUCGAUCUGACACUGAGGCACGAAAGCGUGGGGAGCGAACGGG
RNAcentral lists this ribosomal RNA (253 nucleotides) under uncultured bacterium. RNAcentral's name for it is "partial 16S ribosomal RNA". It matches the Rfam family "Bacterial small subunit ribosomal RNA", at positions 524 to 776 of the family's 1533-position model. The record is from RNAcentral.